AAUGCUACCGCACCUAAAAUAAUGCAAAAAGAAAUGGCACCAACGGUAAAAUCUAUGAACAAUAGUACUGGAUCAAAGGACAAUACUAAUGUUACCACAUCUAACAUAUCAAGUAAAGUAGUGCAAACAGAAGUCACUUCUCAUGCUAACACUUCUAAAAUGGUGCAAAAA
Helianthus annuus (common sunflower) is the source of this 171-nucleotide long non-coding RNA. RefSeq lists it as uncharacterized. Lineage: Eukaryota; Viridiplantae; Streptophyta; Magnoliopsida; Asterales; Asteraceae. The record is from RefSeq and is a predicted model, not a curated record. The transcript is spliced from 2 exons.